This 740-nucleotide long non-coding RNA is filed under the name Setaria italica (foxtail millet). Its description in RNAcentral is "long non-coding RNA (SITA_LNC000452)". The record is from RNAcentral. Lineage: Eukaryota; Viridiplantae; Streptophyta; Magnoliopsida; Poales; Poaceae.
AUUGCUGCACGGCAGCUGGAUGAACUUGGGGACACAAGCACCCUCGCUGAUCCUGGUGUCGUUGACCAGCUGAUUGCGCUCAGUGAUUGCUAGGCUGUAAUGAAUUGGGUGGUGGAUGCAUCCUUUGCGUGCAUGUUCCAUUUCUCUUCCUGUAUGAUGAGUAGAAUGUGCAUUUCAGUGUCAGAGAACUAAACUGGGGUGUGAUAUGUUGUUUUGACGUUUCUUUUUUAGAACUUUUGCAUUGCAUAUCGAGGUAGGUGCAUCGAAAUGUAUUAUUGAUUGACACAAUAAGAUAUCAAUAAAUCGUUAAAUUUAAUUUUGGUUUCUUUUGGAUAAACCGUACCCUCGUUUUUUUUGGGUGGCGAAAUUCUAACCUUUUUGGAGUUCACCUUACUUUUGGAUCUUAUAGAUUCAUUAAACCUUCUACGCAUGCCCCAAACUUAAGGGAGUGAACCUAGAUUAGUUUCAACUGGUAAUCUGUACCAUAUGUCAUCUGAAUCCCAGCCUGUAAGCAAUUGCCAUAUGCAUGACCAUUUACUAUAUACAAAGUGUUCAGUGAGAAUGGACUCCCCUGCAACUGGUAACAGCCAUUGCCCAGCUGAGCUGAUGGACUAGCACCAGGGUCUCAUUCCUGAAAAAAAAUCAUGUAAGGAUCCAUCACCUAUGGCCAUGCGAGUUCACUAAGAAGUCCAGUGCUAACCAUUUCAAUUGCACCACAGAUUGCAAGCUGGUCCAGUGUC